UACGUAGGGGGCAAGCGUUGUCCGGAUUUAUUGGGCGUAAAGAGCGUGUAGGCGGCCAGAUAGGUCAGCUGUGAAAACUCGAGGCUCAACCUCGAGACGUCGGUUGAAACCAUCUGGCUAGAGUCCGGAAGAGGAGAGUGGAAUUCCCGGUGUAGCGGUGAAAUGCGUAGAUAUCGGGAAGAACACCCGUGGCGAAGGCGGCUCUCUGGGACGGUACUGACGCUGAGACGCGAAAGCGUGGGGAGCGAACAGG
This 253-nucleotide ribosomal RNA is filed under the name uncultured bacterium. RNAcentral's name for it is "partial 16S ribosomal RNA". It matches the Rfam family "Bacterial small subunit ribosomal RNA", at positions 524 to 776 of the family's 1533-position model. The record is from RNAcentral.